RNAcentral lists this ribosomal RNA (395 nucleotides) under uncultured bacterium. Its description in RNAcentral is "bacterial SSU rRNA". It matches the Rfam family "Bacterial small subunit ribosomal RNA", at positions 521 to 916 of the family's 1533-position model. The record is from RNAcentral.
UAAUACGUAGGGUGCGAGCGUUAAUCGGAAUUACUGGGCGUAAAGCGUGCGCAGGCGGUCUUGCAAGACAGUGGUGAAAUCCCCGGGCUCAACCUGGGAACGGCCAUUGUGACUGCAAGGCUGGAGUACGGCAGAGGGGGAUGGAAUUCCGCGUGUAGCAGUGAAAUGCGUAGAUAUGCGGAGGAACACCGAUGGCGAAGGCAGUCCCCUGGGCCUGUACUGACGCUCAUGCACGAAAGCGUGGGGAGCAAACAGGAUUAGAUACCCUGGUAGUCCACGCCCUAAACGAUGUCAACUGGUUGUUGGGGAUUUACUUCCUCAGUAACGAAGCUAACGCGUGAAGUUGACCGCCUGGGGAGUACGGCCGCAAGGUGAAAACUCAAAGGAAUUGACGG